This 513-nucleotide ribosomal RNA is filed under the name uncultured bacterium. RNAcentral's name for it is "bacterial SSU rRNA". It matches the Rfam family "Bacterial small subunit ribosomal RNA", at positions 18 to 518 of the family's 1533-position model. The record is from RNAcentral.
UAUGGCUCAGGAUGAACGCUAGCUACAGGCUUAACACAUGCAAGUCGAGGGGCAUCAGGAGACUAGCUUGCUAGUUUCGCUGGCGACCGGCGCACGGGUGCGUAACACGUAUCCAACCUACCCAUGGCUCAGGGAUAGCCUUUCGAAAGAAAGAUUAAUACCUGAUGGUUUCCUUCACCCGCAUGGGUGUAUGAAUAAAGAUUCAUCGGCGAUGGAUGGGGAUGCGUCCGAUUAGCUUGUUGGCGGGGUAACGGCCCACCAAGGCGACGAUCGGUAGGGGCUCUGAGAGGAGGAUCCCCCACACUGGAACUGAGACACGGUCCAGACUCCUACGGGAGGCAGCAGUGAGGAAUAUUGGUCAAUGGGCGAAGGCCUGAACCAGCCAAAAGUAGCGUGAGGGACGACUGCCCUAUGGGUUGUAAACCUCUUUUGUUUGGGAAUAAAGGACCCCACGCGUGGGGUUUUGCAUGUACCUUACGAAUAAGCAUCGGCUAAUUCCGUGCCAGCCGCGGC